CUACAACCUAUGGCCGAAUCGGGAGCUUUGAGCAACGACAGCGGGAGGAGUUUCGUCUGCUAAUUCCCUAACCUCUCGAACUGUCAGUCUCUGUGGAACGUACUUAUGUAGAAAAAUCAGAGCAACUAAAUUUCUUACGAAUUUCUGAUAUCUUUAUUACCUUCUGUUAUUCACGUUCGAAUACACUGGAACUACUUCGACGAUUAUUCUAGUUCUGAAACGGACAAUCGGAGAUUCGUGAAGCCUGAAAAUGACAUCUAUAUUCGAUCAGUACGAGCAAGAUUCUCAGAGGUCAAAACAUCCUGUGGCUCCGUCUAUCAGGCCUGAUAUCAGCACGACUGGAUUCAUUCACAUGAAGCUUCGGGAUGAUGGUCCCAUAUUCACCAAACAGAAGGUGAAUUUCUUGCCCUCGGACGAUAUCACGCAUCUCGCAGUCAGCAGCAACUUGAUUGUCAUCGCCAUGGCCAACAACGUUCUAUUACGCAUAGACAUGAAGCACCCAGACAAACCUGAGGACAUCGACAUCUCAAAGUACUCGGCGAACAUGAAAUUGUCCGGUCUUUUUCUGGAUCCCCUUGGAUAUCAUCUGCUACUCGCAAUGGUUCCUAGCAAAGGGGAGACUCCGCCUGCAGAGCUCUUCUAUCUACACAGAAAAACGACAAAACUUAAGCAGGCUGGAAAAUUCAGAGGUCAUGAGAUCACUGCUGUAGGAUGGAAUUUCGCCAACACUUCAGAGACCACCUCGGGUCCUAUACUGCUCGGAACGUCAAAGGGGCUGAUUUUUGAGACUGAAAUCGCGCUUGAUGGUGACAAGAUAUUUAACACGAGCCUGGAGCAGUAUUGGAGGCAGCUUCCCAAUUAUCUGCCUCUCUACGGCAGUAAAGAGGUAGACGGACUCGUAUUCGACAUAGGCGAGGAGAGUAAGCCGCCCAUCACAGGUCUGGAGUUUCAUAGAUUGGGAAACAGUGACAGAUACGUAGUGGUGGUUACAACUCUGAUCAGGAUUUACCAGUACAUUGGCUCCGUCACUACUUUGGACGAGAAGCCGCUGCUUCAGCAGAUUUUCAACAGAUAUUUAAACGCCAAGGAGAGAUUCAAUCAGUUGGACAGCACCCUGCCUUAUUCAAAAAUGCAGUUCUAUUACUCGGAACCCAAACAGCUGCCAAAGUCUUUUGGCUGGUUGACUGAAACCGGUAUAGUAUACGCUCAGAUCGAUCCCAACGUCGACCCGAAAAACGUGUUGGUGAAUAAAAAGGUGAUAACGUGUCCGGAAACGAGUCUGAUUGGUGGAAACAUUUCGCAUUCAUCGGAAAGGCCGCUAUCGUUUGUGCUGACCGAAUUUCAUACGCUGCUUUUGUACUCGGACCGCGUCAAGGGACUUUGCCUUCUCAACCAAGAGCUGAUCUUUGAAGACAUCUACAACGAUGCAUUCGGCAAGCUCGUCAACAUAACUAAGGAUCCCAUGACAGGCUCUAUAUGGGCCUUUAGCGAACGCGCCGUCUUCAAAUACAAAGUCACCAAGGAGGACAGGAACGUUUGGCAGAUUUACGUCGACAAGGGUGAAUUCGAUCUGGCCAAGAAAUACUGUAAGGAUAACCCGGCGCACAUCGAUCACGUGCUCGUAAAACAGGCGGAAAUGUUAUUUGGAAACAAGGAAUACGAUCAGAGUGCGAUCAUUUACGCCGACACGCACUCGUCGUUUGAGGAGGUGUCAUUGAAAUUUUUGCAGGAGUGGCAAAUCGAGGCAUUGAAAACGUUUCUGAAAAAGAAAUUAGAGGGACUCAAACCGCAGGAUAAAACUCAGGUGACAAUGAUAGUCAUCUGGGUUGUGGAACUAUUCAUGAACCAAAUGGGUGCUCUGAGAGGCGACCACACUUCGCAUCUCCAUAAUCCGCGAUAUCAAGAACUGCAGAAACAGUUUGAUAGCUUUUUGGCAAUACCGAAAGUUGAGGAGUGCAUCCGAAUGCACAAAAGCUCGAUAUACGACUUGAUGGCGAGCCAUGGAGACAAGGAGAACUUGAUUCGCCUGACGAUAAUGCACCGCAACUACGAGGAAGUAAUACGCCAGCAUCUGUACAAAAACAACUACAUGGAGGCUCUGAACGUUCUGAAAAGUCAGGGGAACAGAGAAUUGUUCUAUCAAUUCGCAGGCACGCUCUUGCAGGAGCUUCCGAAACCCACUGCACUCGCGCUCAUCUCUCAAGGCUCGAUGCUCAAGCCGUCCAAGCUUCUGCCUGCUCUGGUCUCCUGCAACAACGACGAGAAACACGCCCAGGAAGUGAUUCGCUACCUGGAAUUCUGCAUCUACAAACAAGGAUGCCAGGAGCAGGCGAUCCACAAUUACCUUCUGUCUCUGUACACACGCUACAAGCCAGACGAGGUGCUGCGAUACAUCAGUUCCCAAGGUCAAGAUAUCGGCAUGGUUCCGUACGACGUUCAUUUUGCACUGCGGCUCUGUCAGGAGGUGAAACUAACCAAGGCCUGUGUCCAGCUAUCGGCGCUGCUUGGGCUCUGGACGGCAGCGGUUGACUUGGCGUUGACAAUAAGCGUCGAUUUGGCCAAGCAGAUCGCCUCUAUGCCUUCGCAGAACGACGACGAGCUAAGGAAGAAGCUUUGGCUAAAAAUAGCUGAGCAUGUGGUGAGAGAGCGGGAUGAUAUCAAACAGGCAAUGGAGUUUCUGCAGCAGUGCGAUUUGGUCAGAAUCGAAGACAUUCUUCCGUUUUUCUCGGAUUUCGUAACCAUCGAUCAUUUCAAAGACGCCAUCUGCAACUCUUUACAGGAGUAUAAUCAACACAUCCAAGAUCUCAAGGAGGAGAUGGAAGAGGGGACCAAGGCAGCGGAGCUGAUCAGGAAAGAUAUACAGUCGUUUAGAAACAGAUGCAUUUUCAUCCCGGCCAAGGACACCUGCAACACUUGCGAUGUUCAGCUGCUGCUCAGGUCGUUUUAUGUAUUUCCCUGUGGCCACAGAUUCCACAGCGAUUGUCUUGUCGCCGCCCUCAUUCCCAUGCUCUCCAUGGAGCAGAGAACGAAGCUCGCCGAUCUCCAGCGUCAGUUAACCACCGUUUCUGGGAAAGCGGAGGACACAAAUUCCAUCGGCUCAGUUUCCCUGUCCACCAAAGAUCAGAUCAAAGCUGACAUCGACGAUCUUAUCGCUUCCGAGUGCAUCUACUGCGGAGAGCUGAUGAUCGAAUCGAUAGACAAGCCGUUCAUCGAGGAGGAAGAUUACGAGAGAGUGAUGAAAGAGUGGGACUGAAUGACAAUGUGGAUAAUCAAAGGAGUCGUAUUCUUGAUUCUCUACAACAACUAGCGGAAAUGAUUUUUUAAAUACUCCGAAGCGAGAUUGGAAUCGAAGUGAAGAGCAGGUCAGUGUAUUUAAACAACAAAGCUUCUGAUCACUGGCUUGUUAUUUGUACAGGAUUGUUCACAGCAGCAAUAAAGAUCCGAAGAGGGUCGUG
RNAcentral lists this unclassified non-coding RNA (3455 nucleotides) under Neodiprion lecontei (redheaded pine sawfly). RNAcentral describes it as "vacuolar protein sorting-associated protein 18 homolog, transcript variant X2". The record is from RNAcentral. Lineage: Eukaryota; Metazoa; Arthropoda; Insecta; Hymenoptera; Diprionidae.